UGGGGAAUAUUGGACAAUGGGGGCAACCCUGAUCCAGCCAUGCCGCGUGAGUGAUGAAGGCCUUCGGGUUGUAAAGCUCUUUUGGCGGGGACGAUGAUGACGGUACCCGCAGAAUAAGCCCCGGCUAACUUCGUGCCAGCAGCCGCGGUAAGACGAAGGGGGCUAGCGUUGUUCGGAAUUACUGGGCGUAAAGCGAGUGUAGGCGGUUGCCGUAGUCAGGUGUGAAAGCCUUGAGCUCAACUCAAGAAAUGCACUUGAUACUGGGUGACUAGAGGACCGGAGAGGAUAGUGGAAUUCCCAGUGUAGUGGUGAAAUACGUAGAGAUUGGGAAGAACACCAGUGGCGAAGGCGGCUAUCUGGACGGUUACUGACGCUAAGACUCGAAAGCGUGGGGAGCAAACAGGAUUAGAUACCCUGGUAGUCCACGCCGUAAACGAUGGGUGCUAGACGUUGGCGAGCUUGCUCGUCAGUGUCGCAGCUAAACGCGUUAAGCACCCCGCCUGGGGAGUACGGCCGCAAGGUUNAAAUCAAAGAAUUGCGGGGUCUAGCUGUUUUUCCC
RNAcentral lists this ribosomal RNA (559 nucleotides) under uncultured bacterium. RNAcentral describes it as "partial 16S ribosomal RNA". It matches the Rfam family "Bacterial small subunit ribosomal RNA", at positions 355 to 1375 of the family's 1533-position model. The record is from RNAcentral.